AUGGCAGAAUCAGAAGGGAAAUUAGUGGAAAAUGGAUCCAACAGGAGGAAAGUGGAGGAGAGACGGGCCUCAUGCCUGAGCGUCCACAGAGACGUUAAUCCAGAAACCGAGCCUCCUCCUCCACGGCCCAGAUCCCACGAUGGUCCCAUCACUGUAGGAGCCCCUGAAGACCUGCAGCCGCUCACACAGGCACUGCUUGGGUUUGAAACCAAGAUAACAAGCAGUCACACGGUCAGAACACGCGUCCAGGAAAGCUCUGGACCGACAUCCAGAACCCCUCCUCCUCCUCCUUCUCCUUCCUCCUCCUCCUCCUCCUCCUUCCUCCUCUUCCUCCUCCUCCUCCCUCCUCCUGCUCCUCCUCCUGCUCCUCCUUCUCCUUCCUCCUCCUCCUCCUCCUCUCCACAGACAGACAACAGGGCUCUGCUCUGGGCCUCCUCCUCCUCCUCCUCCUCCUGCUCCUCCUCCUGCUCCUCCUUCUCCUUCCUCCUCCUCCUCCUCCCUCCUCCUGCUCCUCCUCCUGCUCCUCCUUCUCCUUCCUCCUCCUCCUCCUCCUCCUCCUCCUCCUCCUCUCCACAGACAGACCACAGGGCUCUGCUCUGGGCCUCCUCCUCCUCCUCCUCCUCCUUCCUCCUCCUGCUCCUCCUCCUGCUCCUCCUUCUCCUUCCUCCUCCUCCUCCUCCUCCCUCCUCCUGCUCCCUCCUUCUCCUUCCUCCUUCUCUUCCUCCUCCUCCUCCUCCUCCUCCUCUCCACAGACAGACCACAGGGCUCUGCUCUGGGCCUCCUCCUCCUCCUCCUCCUCCUCCUCCUCUCCACAGACAGACCACAGGGCUCUGUUCUGGGCCUCCUCCUCCUCCUCCUCCUCCCUCCUCCUGCUCCUCCUUCUCCUUCCUCCUUCUCUUCCUCCUCCUCCUCCUCCUCCUCCUCUCCACAGACAGACCACAGGGCUCUGCUCUGGGCCUCCUCCUCCUCCUCCUCCUCCUUCCUCCUCCUCCUCCUCCUCCUCUCCACAGACAGACCACAGGGCUCUGCUCUGGGCCUCCUCCUCCUCCUCCUUCCUCCUCCUCCUCCUCCUCCUCUCCACAGACAGACCACAGGGCUGUGCUCUGGGCCUCCUCCUCCUCCUCCUCCUCCUUCCUCCUCCUCCUCCUCCUCCUCUCCACAGACAGACCACAGGGCUCUGCUCUGGGCCUCCUCCUCCUCCUCCUGCUCCUCCUCCUGCUCCUGCUCCUCCUUCUCCUUCCUCCUCCUCCUCCUCCUCCUCCUCCCUCCUCCUGCUCCUCCUUCUCCUUCCUCCUUCUCCUCCUCCUCCUCCUCCUCCUCCUCCUCUCCUCCUCCUCCUCCUCCUCCUCCUCCUGCCUCCUCCUCCUCUCCUCUCCUCCUCCUCCUCCUCCUCCUCCUCCUCCUCCUCUCCACAGACAGACCACAGGGCUCUGCUCUGGGCCUCCUCCUCCUCCUCCUUCCUCCUCCUCCUCCUCCUCCUCUCCACAGACAGACCACAGGGCUCUGCUCUGGGCCUCCUCCCUCCUUUUCUUUGCAUCUUGA
RNAcentral lists this long non-coding RNA (1542 nucleotides) under Betta splendens (Siamese fighting fish). RNAcentral describes it as "lncRNA (ENSBSLG00000018900.1)". The record is from RNAcentral. Lineage: Eukaryota; Metazoa; Chordata; Actinopteri; Anabantiformes; Osphronemidae.